This 61-nucleotide microRNA precursor is filed under the name Homo sapiens (human). RNAcentral describes it as "Hsa-Mir-506-P1d_pre stem-loop". Lineage: Eukaryota; Metazoa; Chordata; Mammalia; Primates; Hominidae. The record is from RNAcentral.
UACUCGAGAGAGUAGCAAUCACAUAUGGUAAUGACAUAUGAUUGAAACCUCUACGAGUGGU